This 434-nucleotide ribosomal RNA is filed under the name uncultured fungus. RNAcentral describes it as "eukaryotic LSU rRNA". It matches the Rfam family "Eukaryotic large subunit ribosomal RNA", at positions 1 to 432 of the family's 3401-position model. The record is from RNAcentral. Lineage: Eukaryota; Fungi.
GACCUCGGAUCAGGUAGGGAUACCCGCUGAACUUAAGCAUAUCAAUAAGCGGAGGAAAAGAAACCAACAGGGAUUGCCUCAGUAACGGCGAGUGAAGCGGCAACAGCUCAAAUUUGAAAUCUGGCUCUUUCAGGGUCCGAGUUGUAAUUUGUAGAAGAUGCUUUGGGUGUAGCUCCGGUUUAAGUUCCUUGGAACAGGACGUCAUAGAGGGUGAGAAUCCCGUAUGUGACUGGGUGCUUUCGCUCGUGUAAAGCUCUUUCGACGAGUCGAGUUGUUUGGGAAUGCAGCUCAAAAUGGGUGGUAAAUUUCAUCUAAAGCUAAAUAUUGGCCAGAGACCGAUAGCGCACAAGUAGAGUGAUCGAAAGAUGAAAAGCACUUUGGAAAGAGAGUUAAACAGUACGUGAAAUUGUUGAAAGGGAAGCGCUUGCAACCAG